GUGAAUCAUCGAAUUUUUGAACGCAAAUUGCGCUUCCUGGCAUCCCGGGAAGUAUGCCUGUUUGAGGGUCAGUAUUAACAAAAAAUCGGUGUGUUUGCAAAGUGUGACGUGGCCGGAGGGUGGGCUUUCUUAACUUUGUUGGUUAAGGGGCUUAAAAUUGACCUGUUUUGCGCAUUUUUUGACGGACAUAAAUUUUUUUUUUAUUCGGCUAUUGUUAAUGCCAAGAUGUGAUUAGAUUCGAGCACAUCGUGUGGUUUCUUGUCCAUAAAGUUUUCAGGAUGG
RNAcentral lists this unclassified non-coding RNA (282 nucleotides) under Glomeraceae sp. RNAcentral's name for it is "partial contains 5.8S ribosomal RNA and internal transcribed spacer 2". The stretch from base 1 to 71 matches the Rfam family "5.8S ribosomal RNA", at positions 84 to 154 of the family's 154-position model. The record is from RNAcentral. Lineage: Eukaryota; Fungi; Glomeromycota; Glomeromycetes; Glomerales; Glomeraceae.